This 74-nucleotide transfer RNA is filed under the name Ignavibacteria bacterium. RNAcentral describes it as "tRNA-Ile". It matches the Rfam family "tRNA". Rfam says of the family: Transfer RNA (tRNA) molecules are approximately 80 nucleotides in length. Their secondary structure includes four short double-helical elements and three loops (D, anti-codon, and T loops). The record is from RNAcentral. Lineage: Bacteria; Pseudomonadati; Ignavibacteriota; Ignavibacteria.
GGGCCUAUAGCUCAGUUGGUUAGAGCGCACGCCUGAUAAGCGUGAGGUCUGUGGUUCAAAUCUACAUAGGCCCA